AGUUAGAGAAGAAGCUCCAGGAAAAGAAGGAGCAGUGGACGGUUACUGAGAGAAAGGUGAGGACAGAACAGAACAAGCUGGAGAUCAGUCGAACCAGCUCAGCCAGUGGGACAUCAACAACACCACCCAUAACUAUAGAAGAGGUCAAUGAAAGGGAUCGCUACAUCCGUCUCAAGAACAGUUCCAAUAAGGAGAUAAAUCUGGGAGACUGGAAGUUAGAACUACAGAUUAACAACAGGGAACCAAACACAUUGACAUUUGGGCCAUUCAAAUUUCAGGCUGGAAGGAUUCUCUGU
Acanthochromis polyacanthus (spiny chromis) is the source of this 296-nucleotide long non-coding RNA. RefSeq lists it as uncharacterized. The record is from RefSeq and is a predicted model, not a curated record. The transcript has 3 exons. Lineage: Eukaryota; Metazoa; Chordata; Actinopteri; Pomacentridae.